RNAcentral lists this ribosomal RNA (464 nucleotides) under uncultured Verrucomicrobiota bacterium. Its description in RNAcentral is "bacterial SSU rRNA". It matches the Rfam family "Bacterial small subunit ribosomal RNA", at positions 338 to 795 of the family's 1533-position model. The record is from RNAcentral. Lineage: Bacteria; Pseudomonadati; Verrucomicrobiota.
CCUACGGGGGGCUGCAGUCGAGAAUUUUUCACAAUGGGCGAAAGCCUGAUGGAGCGACGCCGCGUGGGGGAUGAAUGGCUUCGGCCCGUAAACCCCUGUCAUUCGCGAUCAAACUCUGCAAUCCAAUAAGUUGCAGACUGAUAGUAGCGAAAGAGGAAGGGACGGCUAACUCUGUGCCAGCAGCCGCGGUAAUACAGAGGUCCCAAGCGUUGUUCGGAUUCACUGGGCGUAAAGGGUGCGUAGGCGGUCGGAUAAGUCUGACGUGAAAUCCUGGAGCUUAACUCCGGAACUGCGUCGGAAACUAUUUGGCUAGAGGAUUGGAGGGGGGACUGGAAUUCUCGGUGUAGCAGUGAAAUGCGUAGAUAUCGAGAGGAACACCCGUGGCGAAGGCGAGUCCCUGGACAAUUCCUGACGCUGAGGCACGAAAGCUAGGGGAGCAAACAGGCUUAGAUACCCUGGUAGUC